AGAGUUUGAUCCUGGCUCAGGAUGAACGCUAGCGGCAGGCUUAACACAUGCAAGUCGAGGGGCAGCGGGGAGGAAGCUUGCUUUCUCCGCCGGCGACCGGCGCACGGGUGAGUAACACGUAUGCAACCUGCCCCUGUCAGGGGGACAACCCGCCGAAAGGCGGGCUAAACCCGCGUACAUGCCACCGGGGCAUCCCGGAGGCAGGAAAGGCUUCGGCCGGACAGGGAUGGGCAUGCGGCGCAUUAGGCAGUAGGCGGGGUAACGGCCCACCUAACCGACGAUGCGUAGGGGUUCUGAGAGGAAGGUCCCCCACACUGGUACUGAGACACGGACCAGACUCCUACGGGAGGCAGCAGUGAGGAAUAUUGGUCAAUGGUCGGGAGACUGAACCAGCCAAGCCGCGUGAGGGAGGAAGGUACAGAGUAUCGUAAACCUCUUUUGUCAGGGAACAAAGGCGGGGACGUGUCCCCGGAUGAGUGUACCUGAAGAAAAAGCAUCGGCUAACUCCGUGCCAGCAGCCGCGGUAAUACGGAGGAUGCGAGCGUUAUCCGGAUUUAUUGGGUUUAAAGGGUGCGCAGGCGGUCUGUUAAGUCAGCGGUCAAAGCCCGGGGCUCAACCCCGGCCCGCCGUUGAAACUGGCAGUCUCGAGUUGGAGAGAAGUAUGCGGAAUGCGCGGUGUAGCGGUGAAAUGCAUAGAUAUCGCGCAGAACUCCGAUUGCGAAGGCAGCAUGCCGGCUCCACACUGACGCUGAGGCACGAAAGCGUGGGUAUCGAACAGGAUUAGAUACCCUGGUAGUCCACGCAGUAAACGAUGAAUGCUGGCUGUCCGGGGGGAUUGACCCCUGGGUGGCGAAGCGAAAGCGAUAAGCAUUCCACCUGGGGAGUACGCCGGCAACGGUGAAACUCAACGGAAUUGACGGGGGCCCGCACAAGCGGAGGAACAUGUGGUUUAAUUCGAUGAUACGCGAGGAACCUUACCCGGGCUCAAACGGGGAGUGACUCAGGCAGAGACGCCUGUUUCCCACGGGACACUCCCCGAGGUGCUGCAUGGUUGUCGUCAGCUCGUGCCGUGAGGUGUCGGCUUAAGUGCCAUAACGAGCGCAACCCCCGCGUGCAGUUGCUAACAGAUAACGCUGAGGACUCUGCACGGACUGCCGGCGCAAGCCGCGAGGAAGGCGGGGAUGACGUCAAAUCAGCACGGCCCUUACGUCCGGGGCGACACACGUGUUACAAUGGGUGGUACAGCGGGAAGCCAGGCGGCGACGCCGAGCGGAACCCGAAAUCCACUCUCAGUUCGGAUCGGAGUCUGCAACCCGACUCCGUGAAGCUGGAUUCGCUAGUAAUCGCGCAUCAGCCAUGGCGCGGUGAAUACGUUCCCGGGCCUUGCACACACCGCCCGUCA
RNAcentral lists this ribosomal RNA (1402 nucleotides) under uncultured bacterium. Its description in RNAcentral is "16S ribosomal RNA". It matches the Rfam family "Bacterial small subunit ribosomal RNA". The record is from RNAcentral.